GACGAACGCUGGCGGCGUGCUUAACACAUGCAAGUCGUACGGUAAGGCCCUUUCGGGGGUACACGAGUGGCGAACGGGUGAGUAACACGUGAGUAACCUGCCCACAACUUUGGGAUAACGCUAGGAAACUGGUGCUAAUACUGGAUAUGUGCUCCUGCUGCAUGGUGGGGGUUGGAAAGCUCCGGCGGUUGUGGAUGGACUCGCGGCCUAUCAGCUUGUUGGUGGGGUAGUGGCCUACCAGGCGGCGACGGGUAGCCGGCCUGAGAGGGUGACCGGCCACAUUGGGACUGAGAUACGGCCCAGACUCCUACGGGAGGCAGCAGUGGGGAAUAUUGCACAAUGGGCGCAAGCCUGAUGCAGCAACGCCGCGUGCGGGAUGACGGCCUUCGGGUUGUAAACCGCUUUCAGCAGGGACGAAGCUUUUUGUGACGGUACCUGCAGAAGAAGCACCGGCUAACUACGUG
RNAcentral lists this ribosomal RNA (464 nucleotides) under uncultured bacterium. RNAcentral describes it as "partial 16S ribosomal RNA". It matches the Rfam family "Bacterial small subunit ribosomal RNA", at positions 28 to 507 of the family's 1533-position model. The record is from RNAcentral.